GUCCUCUUCAGAAGUCGACUCAGAUGCAGUGGAAACCAGCACAGAGCAAAGAUCAGCACCAGGCAGAACACGGCUUUGGCUACUUCUCUACGCUGCAGAGAGAAAUUACUCUCAGAAGUCGAGCAUCAGGAAUGCAGGUGACCAUCUUGAAGCCGAUGGCCUCCGGCACGGCCAGCGUGAUAGACAGCAUCCAGAUCACCACAAUCUCCAUCGCCGUUACCGUGGGAACGCCUGUGCCCUGCACCCGGGACCAGGACGCCACCGCACGGGGGGCGGGGGCUUGUUCACGGUCUCUUGCACCAGGUGUGGCUCUCCGUCCGAGGUCUGGAUGAGAUAGUUCAGCCCUGGUCCCAGAGGCGCAUCAGUGCUGUGGAAGUCAGGUGGCUCCAACAUCACCAGAUCUGAGAAGUUACUGUGGCAACUGGCGGGCUUGACAAACCCCAAACACCAGACAACCAGCAGUGAGUGGAUUUUGAUUAAGUUAAAUCCCUCCAAGGACGAGAGGAUAAGAAGAAGAAGAGUAGCUCCACUUGGCGAAGGAGACAGAACUGAUGAAGUCAAACUGAUGUCACUCAGCAUAUUGACGUGGUUCACACUGAGACUUUGGAAAGCUACCACCGAGCAGACACAUAAAAAGCAGAAUUCUUCUCAGAAGAUGUUUUAUUUUAUUUUGUAUUGUGAGAUGAUCCUGGAGCUUUCUCACUGCUGUUCAUGAUCUGCCGUGAAGUCGGAGAAGUUUAAACAUCUCAUACAGCCUGUACAUUCACUCAAAUUUGAAGUAUUUGUUCUUUACUUGAGUAUUUCCAUUUCUACUCCACUACAUCUCAGAGGUAAAUAUUUUACUUUUUACUGCGCUAAAUUUGUCUGAUGGCUUUAAUUAAUUUCCAGGUU
This is a long non-coding RNA of Epinephelus lanceolatus (giant grouper), 891 nucleotides long. RefSeq lists it as uncharacterized. Lineage: Eukaryota; Metazoa; Chordata; Actinopteri; Perciformes; Serranidae. The record is from RefSeq and is a predicted model, not a curated record.